GUGGUCUAUGGGAAGGUGGGUGGUAGAGGAAAGAUUGUUUAAGGUUAAAGACAGUGAAUAAGACACCCACUUUCACCCCAUAAAACACCACCAUAUGAUUUGUGAUUCUUAUGCCUCGCUGCAGCUUCUGUAUUACCGUAACCUUUAAAUGACAUCUAACUAACAUCUGGAAGAGGUUAUCCGUCACCUGGCCCAGGCUUUGUGCCGUAAUUUGAGCUGAAGUCAUGCUGUCUCAGAGUCGGGUGCGUUGCUCUCGAUGGAACCAUAAGAGCAGCGCUCUCGCGCAGCGGGGACCUUAAUGCGGCAUGUACACACAAUGGCCUAGAUAUGGUAUUUUGUAUGUUGUGGUGUUAUUGUGUCUCUGUCUCUCAUAAUGGCCCAUAAUAAGCACAGAAGCACAGCUGGCGUGUUUUGGAGAUGGCACUUCCUGAGGGAGUGUUCCGCCGAGAAAUAAUGACGGCUUUGAUUGGACGGUGGGGAGAGAGUGGCAGUUCCUGCUCUUUUGUUCCAUUGUACAGGAGAUGGAAUGGGAAAAGUGUGAGCGAGUGUGUUGGGAGAUUAUACACAGCUGUUGGAGAUGUCAUAUUAAAGACACACUUCACACACACAUGCAUAUCUUUCUGCCCUUCCCCGGCAAGACAACACCCAAAAAAUGUCAUUAUCACUUAAAUCAGAGAAAAAUAAGUACAAAAAACAAACACACAGGACAGGCGUGCGCAUAUAAUUUUGCGUAAUUCCAAGUAAAUGCAUUAUCAUUAAUAUAUCAUCUCUAUCAGCCUGUUAAUUGCUGUGAUUACGAAAUGCAUAAUUUUAGGAACCGCAAAAGCAGAUAUAAACAUCACAAGACCCCAGAAAAAAGCAAAACUGUAAGAAGCGUUAAUGAAUGGCUUUUAAAUAGAACGCUAGCAUCUUUUACAAUCAAACAAAUAAAUAACACCUUUAUUUUUAGGUGGCAGCAGCAUAUGUUCUCACUCUUCGUCACACACACAGACAAACGUACACACUUUUUUUCUGUUUGAGUGAAUUUUCCAUUAGAGUCUGCAAAGAUCACAGGUUGGGUUGUUUCCUGCCACUGCAAGAGCGCAACCACAGCAGCUAACCAGUAUCUGCUCUCACUGCAGCACCCAGGGCAUUAAUAACACACUCAUCCGCACUCACACACACUUCUUUUAACCUCAGCUGCAAGUUCUGUCUCUCUAAGAUUUUCCAUCUUUGCUUUACAGGCAACUGCAUUACCCAAAAGUCACACCACACACGCACACUUGCACAUAUGCAGGCAUAUAUGUUCCUAUACAGGCUUAGUAUAAAGCUCUUUGAGUUUUUCCUGGCAUUUUUUCUUCAGGUUUUGAGCACUACAAGCUGAACAAAAUGAAUAUAAAAUGUAACUAAUGUACAUAAAUGUAAAAAAGCAUGGUGCCUAUAGAUAAAGUCAAAUAUGUAAUUUAGGUAAAAAAAAAAAAAAAAACAUUUCCUUUUCAGAUCUUUUCUUUCGUAUUGUGACAUACAUUUGAGUAUAAGAGAUUAGCAAAAAAACAAACAACAACAACAACAACAACAAAAAAUUGUAGGGUGGGGACUUGUUUCUGCAUUAGUUGUGGAUUAAAUUUUGAGAUUUGGGUGUUGCACUCAAAAAUGGAGGCAUACGUCACCAAAGAGAAGUUUGUUGUUUUUCAACAGAAGAUCCAGUUUUGACAUUUUGUUUAAACAUUUUUAAGAAUUGUUCAGAAUAAGAUAUACACUUCCUGGCCAAAAAAAAAAAAAAAAAAAAGGUCACUGUUUGGAUUUAAAUAGGCAGUUCUUGACCAAAAAUUGAUUCACCUCUUGAUGGAAAUAAAUGUUGUGAUGUUAUUUCCAUCAAGAGGUGCAUACAUUUUUGGUCAAGAUCUUGUAUUGACAAUGCAAGAGGUGAACACUCUGUAAAGUCUAAUCCAGCACAUCCCACAGACUUUCAAUGAAUUUAAGGACUCAGAGGUACCAAUUCAUGUGUGAAAAUGAUUCUUUUUGCUCCCUCCCCAACCAUUCUUUCACAAUUUUAACCCUGGUGAAUCUUGACAUUGUCAUCCUGGAAUAUGGUCAUGAUGUGUCUUCCUGCAUGGUUGUUUAAGAAAUGAAAAGCUGCACACUCCAUCAAUUAGGGUUAGAAGAACUGUUGCAAACAUACAACAUGCUAGAAAUAUAAUAAUCACUGUAACAAUAAUCCAGUGGUAACACUUUACAAUAAGGUUCAUUAGUUAAACAUUAGUUAAAGUAUUAACUAACAUGAACUAACCAUGAGCAAUACAUGUGUAUUUGUUGAUGUUUGUUAAUAAAAAUCCAGCUGUUCAUUGUUUGUUCAACUAAUGUAGUUAACUAAUAUUAACUAACAAAACUUAUUGUAAAGUAUUACUGAUCCAAUCAUAGACUCUUGAGCAUUUGCCAAACAGUGACUUUUUUGGGGGGCAGGGCAGUGUAUAACAUGUAUUUAAAAAAAAAAAAAAAUAGUAGAAUACACAAAAAUUAGUCAAGCAUACCCUUUUCAUACAACCAGACUAAACCCCCUUCAAGAACUACUUAAGUGAUUUAAAAAAACUUUUUUUUUUCUUUCACAUUUUUAGGACAUGCACCAAUUUCGCAAGAUGUGAGUGAGAGAGAAAAAUGAGACUUAUAUAGUGUUUGUUUGACUGAAUUACUCUCUCUGAUCCUGACGGGACAUCCAGAUGUAAGAGUAGACAGACUGUGGCUGUAAGGGUGUUUUUAUGCCCCCAGUUUACUAUAUCAUAGUUUCCUUUUCCCCUGUUAUCUAUCUGUUUCUCAACACAUGUGCAAGCACAUGUGUGUGCUUUUUAUAUAAGACAAUGUUUAGACUUGAGGUCUAAACUAGAAACUAGAAGUGAGAAAUGAGGUCAAAAUGAGAUGCUGAGAUACAGACAUGUAUAGUUUGUUCCUCUGGCAGCGACUCAACAAAAGGUCAAAAUUUGUUGUGUCAGGCACACACUAACAUCUAAAUACCACAACCAUCAUCGUAAUCCCACAGUCCUUCCUUCCUCCAUGUCUCACUUCAUCUGCUCCCACUGAAGAGAUCAGAUGAUGACUGGAGACAUUCGGUCGUUGUGAUCGCCCGCCGUGAAAUUGGCCCUUGGGCAUGGAUGAUCGGACGCAAGUCACAAACGGCAGUUGGUGAGUUGUGAGGUGUUGGAUUUCUGUGUUUCUUACUGAUAAGGAAGGAGUGGGAGGGGAAACCGGACCCAGCCAUGAAAUCUCAGACUUGUGUCUGUCAGAAAUCACAGGAUGGAAUUCAGUCCAUUUUAGUUUUUUCCCUCUCACUUAAGAAACUAUUUUUAAUGUGUAACUAGUAACAGGGAGUUUGUCAAGACAAAUUCUGAAUGUUGGCUUGAAUUCUUGAAAGUCUUUCCUGAAAGUUUGAGGAUGUUGCAGCAGAAACAAGCAGAAAGCUUUUAAGUUUAAAAGUUCAGACAGACAGCCAGCCAGACAGCCAGAUAGAUAGAUAGAUAGAUAGAUAGAUAGAUAGUCAUUCAUUAGGUAGAGAUGAGAGCUUAUCUUGCUUGUCUGACAUGCUACACUACUUUUUUUAGACAAAUUAAUCGCCGUUUCUGUUCAAAAUUGGUAAAUCUACUGAAAGAGCAAACAGCAGGUAAAGCUUGCAAAUCUGGUUGUCAGUAACUUACGAAAGUCACUGCCUAGCAAUAAAAACACUUGACUGUCUCACACAUAAACCCACAGUUCUCCCUCCACUGACAGGAUAUUUUAGACAACAUAAAUGGAAGAUUAUUUUACACAUAAGGCAGUUCUGGGGCUUAUAACUGUAAGGAUUAUAUUGUACAUAUAGUCCAAAGUCCAAUUACACAAAUGCUUAUUUUCUCUAUGAGUUUUGCAUGUUGAUUUCAAACAGUUCAAAAGCUUCCAGCUGAAAGGGAACAUUCUCAGAACGUUCUAGAAGUUAUGAACAAACACUAUUCCAGUAACGUUAAUAGAACAUUUGUUCAAAAUUAUCUGGUCUUUAAGAAAGUCCUUAAAACGUUAGCACAAAAAUGUUAUUUAUACAUCAUUCAUGGAACGUUUUUUCAGUAACAUUUUAGUUGGAUGUUUGUCCAACAUUUGUUGUUUCAAAACAUUCAGAGAACAUUUAAAAGUAACGUUCCCUUAAUGUUUUGCAAUGCUUUAAAGGGUUAGUUCACCCAAAAAUGAAAAUUCUGUCAUUAAUUUCUCACCCUCAUAUCGUUCCAAACCCGUAAGACCUUCGUUCAUCUUCGGCACACAAAUUAAAAUAUUUUUGAUGAAAUCUGAGAGGUUUCUGAACCACACAUAGGCAGCAAUGUCAUUGCACCUUUUGAGGUCCAGAAAGGUUCUAAAGACAUCGUUAAAAUAGUCAGUGUGACUACAGUGGUUCAACCUUAAUGUUAUGAAGCGAUGAGAAUACUUUUUGUGCUCAAAAACAAAACAAAAAUAAUGACUUUAUUCAACAAUCUCUUCUCUUCUAUGCUGUUCACGUGAGCAACACGACGCACGACGUGAUGCUGACUCAGAAACCAGUUCAGAAACCCUCGGAUUUCAUCAAAAAUAUCUUAAUUUGUGUCCUGAAGAUGAAUGAAGGUCUUACAGGUGUGGAUCGACAUGAGGGUCCGUCACAGGUUCCAGAAUAUCCUGAGGCCACAGUCGUGAUGUAUGUGUGACCUCUUUACCCUACUGGUAAAACCCAACCUCUCACCUUUAACCUGCCAUGUGACUUGCUCCUGAUGGAUUUUUUGUAGCUGCUCCUCUGAGCUGUGAAAUAUAAACUAAACAGAAGAGAGGCGACAGGACAACACCAUUCUGACACCGCACUCUGUAAGAGCUAUUUGAUAUGCCAUAACUCUAAAAGUCACUUCCACUUGGAAACACUCCUUGAGAUUGGUGUGUUUGCAAAUGAUUGAUGACAAAUGAUUAAUCACUUCGGUUUUCAUAUUUAAUUGAUUGUCCAUUUGCAAGAUAUAUUAGUAAAAUGGGGUUCCACUUUCUACAAACCAUUUAAAUAAACUCAGCCUUUGGUUUUUGAAGCAACCAACCAACAAAUCCCUCCGAAUAUUUUAACACUGAUUGGUUUGCACGUACCACAAGAGAAAUCAUGAUCUCUGCUCUCCGCAGCAUUCCAAAGAACUUUUCCAAGAUCCAAAGUGCCCCCUACAGGAUACUAGUGGAUUUCAUUUGCAGUCCAAAACAUGCAGUGAUGUCAAGCUGUCAAACAUACACAGAUUGCACAUCAUUCAAGUAAACAGAUAUAUCAACAAACAUUUAAGUAGGACGUUUUUUGGACAUUCUUUCAGGCAUAUACAGGCUUUAGUCAAAUACAUGUCAUACACAUUAUGUUUGAAGAUAUAUGAUUAAAGGAAGUUCAUAAAUAAUAAUUAUGUACAAAAAGCAAAAAAAAAAAAAAAAAAAAAAACUGUGAAAGAGAAUCAGACUAUUUUUAAAAGCUCAAGGCACUUGUUGGGAGAUAUUCUGAGUCAAGGACACUGAACAGAUGCUCACUGUCUCAUUCAAGGUUGUUGCACUCCUACAGACUCAUCCAGAGAGGGAACAAAUACAGCUUCUCUUGUGACUUCAUGCCAACAUUGAGCUCAAAACAGUCAAUGACAAAUCACUUUCCCUGUCUGUGCUGCCCAUAGUUUCUAACAUGGAUCUACGAACAAGAAACCGUUUAAAUCCCCAUCUAGCCCACUUGGGAAAUGCCUGUAGAGAUGUGCACAGCUCAACAAAUUCUCUGGUGAUGAAAUAACGUCUUUUCUUUCUCAAAGAGGAACCAAAGGGGGAUGCAGCCUACACUGAGGGAACACAAAAUACCAUCAUAAUCUCAUUUUAUCUGUCUUUGAAACCAAGCAUCUCUAUAACACCUGGAGAAAGCUAUCAGUUAGCAUUCCCAUUCACCUAAAUAUAGAUGCACAGCCUUCACUACCGACUAUCCUAAGCUGUGAAACAGGGAAAACCAUGAGACCAUUUAACAAUUUUAAGAGAACUUCAAAAACUAAUUAUAGGAAAUAUGAAACACUUAUAUGUAUUGGUCAAAAUGGCAGUAUUUGAAUGGCCGUCAAUGGAGAAAGAUGCUUUUUGCUUGCAGAUUGUGUAGUGACUGCAUCUACCAGCAGGGGCAAACUGGAUCACACUAACCAGCUAAACUUUGACCUCUUGGAAGAAACAACUAACUAAAUAACAAGUUUGCUGUUUUAUUGUGUUGACCAAGGUCAAGAGCAACAAAGCAUUUUUUUGAUGUUCAAGAUGUCGAAAUAGAUUCUUCAGGUUUAUUUUACGAUUAACUCAGUCCUUGGCAACUGAUAUAGAAUUGAGCAGAUGCACAUAUGAAACACACACACAGUUUUUGACAAUGCAGGACCUCAUUCCCCUCCUCCUGCUCCCCCCUAGUAGGAGACCCACAGCUGCGCAAGCCAGGUGCUAUCUACUCUAACACACUCACACACACACUCACACACUUCCACCCGCCAACGAACCCAGCAGGAAAUGCCUAAUACCAGUUUUAGAAUGAUGCCACUAUGCCAGCAGGAGAGGGUGCUGCACUUACUCGCGUUCCCUUGUGGGCGCCAGCGUCUGGAGACCUUCAGCAGAAAGUCUGAUAUGAACAUCUUGAACACAUGGGUGAGACCCAGGCCAGAGUACACCAAAAAAGUACAUCAGCUAUUUCUGUCUGUGGCUUACCACACUAUUGACGCUGUACCGCUCAUACAUACUCAGUCAUCACGUAGGAGUUAAGCAGACAUAAGCAUGUACAAACACACACCAGCACAUACUGUACACAAGUACAUACGCAUAUAGGAAAGGUUCGAUGUUCGAAACUGAACCGCAAGCAAAAAACUUUGCUGAUGUGUGCUGGUAUCAUAUCUCUUCAAGACUUUUCAAGCAAAGGUUACAGGUGUUCAGAAAAUCAACUCUUAGUCAAUCGGACGUGAUGGAUCACGUGGUCGGAAGAGUCGUUGUCCAGGAAAUGAUGCUUCGUCGGAAUGGAAACUUUAGUGCGGCCCACCACAACAGAGACACCCUGUGAGAGAGUGUGUGUAAACAGCACGAUGCCUUCUCAAAACCUCACAUUGAGUGCGGUCACACACUCACCUCUAAGUUUUCCAUCCACAAGAUGUCAGACCAGUAUUUUGUCACCGGAUGUUUUUCAAGGUCAGGGGUAAAAAAAAUAGAUUCUCAGCCUCUGAUCUGUCUGUCUUUCCAUCUCGCUGUGCACCUGCAGACCUGGGGAGCCAGUCCAGGAGAAUCAUGUGGCCUACUGGUAUACUGCUAUUUGAGACUGUGGUUUUAAUGUUGCUUUUUCGAUGUUAGUCAACUUUAGGGUUUGAUUAUACAAAUGAAUGUAUUAAGAGGCUUCAUUCAUAAUUAUCUGGUCUUGUGAUGUCGUUUCUACUUUUAAAGAAUUGUUUAUAAAUCACAUUUUUUUAUAAUGUAUGAGAUAAUGCUUAAAGGUGAACUCAGAAUCAGAGUUUUAUGACUGCCAUGUUGACCGGUACGCUUUUGAAGUACCAUACACAUACUACUCUUACUGUUUCUGCCACAUCUUUAUACGUAUAUAGUGACACCCAGUGGUAUGGAUGUAUAUGUAAUUCCUUCAACAGUGCCAUUGCCAUACGCUAUUUAAAGUCAGCUAUGAUUCAUUUAUCCGGUGAGCAAAGUGUCCAAUAACAAGCAAGUUAACAAGAAUAAACUAAGAGUCAUUGGUCAUGUGAUCUCAACAUUGUGGCCUACAUGAGAGGACACGAUAAAUGUAAAAUAAAACAGCUUUUAAGCUACACUCUAAAAAAUGCUGGGUUAAAAACAACCCAAGUUGGGUUGAAAAUGGACAAAGCCAGCAAUUGGGUUGUUUUAACCCAACUGUUGGGUUAAAUUUUUGCCCAACAUGCUGGGCAGUUUUAUUUAACCCAACUAUUGUUUAAAAAUUAGGUAACACUUUAGUAUAGGGAACACAUAUAAACUAUUAACUAUGACUUUUCCAUCAAUAAACUCCUAAUUUACUGCUUUUUAAUAGUUAGUAAGGUAGUUGUUAAGUUUAGGAAUUGGCAGGAUUAAGAAUGUAGAAUAAGGCAUUAAUAUGUGCUUAACAAGUACUAAUAAAUAGCCAAUAUUCUAGUAAUGUGCAUGCUAAUAAGCAACUAGUUAAAAGACCCUAAAAUAAAGUUACCAAAUAUUACUAUGUGGCUGGCUUAAAAUGAACUCAAAAUAGGUUGGAAAUUAAUAAUCAGAAACAUAAUUACAGAGGCAACCAAUAAUAAUCAAAAGGUGAAUAUUUAUUAAUAAGCAAUUUAAUAAAUGUUUAUUGUUUAAUUAUUAUUCAUUAAACUUAUUAAUAAAUGUUAAUUUACAACAUACUUUGGGUUCAUUUUAAAGGGUUAGUUCACCCAAAAAUGAAAUUUCUGUCAUUUAUU
This is a long non-coding RNA of Ctenopharyngodon idella (grass carp), 8411 nucleotides long. RefSeq lists it as uncharacterized. The record is from RefSeq and is a predicted model, not a curated record. The transcript has 3 exons. NCBI's taxonomy places the organism in Eukaryota, Metazoa, Chordata, Actinopteri, Cypriniformes, Xenocyprididae.